GCGGCAGUAACUCAGCUGGGAGAGUGUCAGACUGAAGAUCUGAAGGUCGCUGGUUCAAGUCCGGCCUGCCGCACCA
This 76-nucleotide transfer RNA is filed under the name Candidatus Poseidoniales archaeon. RNAcentral's name for it is "Marine Group II euryarchaeote tRNA-Phe". It matches the Rfam family "tRNA". Rfam says of the family: Transfer RNA (tRNA) molecules are approximately 80 nucleotides in length. Their secondary structure includes four short double-helical elements and three loops (D, anti-codon, and T loops). Further hydrogen bonds mediate the characteristic L-shaped molecular structure. tRNAs have two regions of fundamental functional importance: the anti-codon, which is responsible for specific mRNA codon recognition, and the 3' end, to which the tRNAs corresponding amino acid is attached (by aminoacyl-tRNA synthetases). tRNAs cope with the degeneracy of the genetic code in two manners: having more than one tRNA (with a specific anti-codon) for a particular amino acid; and 'wobble' base-pairing, i.e. permitting non-standard base-pairing at the 3rd anti-codon position. RNAcentral also lists the same sequence under 1 other name. Lineage: Archaea; Methanobacteriati; Thermoplasmatota; Candidatus Poseidoniia; Candidatus Poseidoniales. The record is from RNAcentral.